GCCUGGGUGGCACAGCGGUUGAGCGUCUGCCUUCGGCUCAGAGCGUGAUCCCUGCGUUAUGGGAUCGAGCCCCAUAUCAGGCU
Molecule: non-coding RNA, 83 nt
Organism: Ailuropoda melanoleuca (giant panda)
Lineage: Eukaryota; Metazoa; Chordata; Mammalia; Carnivora; Ursidae
Source: Rfam